Non-coding RNA from Leptosomus discolor (cuckoo roller), 257 nucleotides. Lineage: Eukaryota; Metazoa; Chordata; Aves; Leptosomiformes; Leptosomidae. The record is from RefSeq and is a predicted model, not a curated record.
CCCGUAAGUGGCACAGAAAUGGCAUCAAGAAACCCAGAUCCCAUAGAUACGAAUCUCUCAAAGGGGUUGAUCCCAAGUUUCUGAGGAACAUGAGGUUUGCAAAGAAACACAACAAAAAGGGGCUGAAGAAGAUGCAGGCCAACAAUGCCAAGCAGGCUGCUCAGCAGAAAAAGGACUGACAUGGUUUAAGACAACCAGUUUUCCUAGUGGCAUGCGUAUUUCAGCUGUUUUGUAAAAAUAAAAUUGGACGUAACAAA